RNAcentral lists this ribosomal RNA (372 nucleotides) under uncultured eukaryote. Its description in RNAcentral is "partial 18S ribosomal RNA". It matches the Rfam family "Eukaryotic small subunit ribosomal RNA", at positions 592 to 976 of the family's 1831-position model. The record is from RNAcentral.
CAAUAGCGUAUAUUAAAGUUGUUGCGGUUAAAAAGCUCGUAGUUGGAUUUCUGGGAGGGUGCCGCCGUCCGGCGUGUCCGUGUGCAGUGGCGCCCUUCCAUCCUUCUGUUAGCGUCUCUUGGCAUUCAUUUGCUGGUGGCGGGCUCAGAUAUUUUACCUUGAGAAAAUUAGAGUGUUUCAGGCAGGCUAGGCCGGAAUACAUUAGCAUGGAAUAAUGGAAUAGGACUACGGUCUCUUUGUUGGUUUGAGGGACUGCAGUAAUGAUUAAUAGGGAUAGUUGGGGGCAUUAGUAUUUAAUUGUCAGAGGUGGAAUUCUCAGAUUUGUUAAAGACUAACUUAUGCGAAAGCAUUUGCCAAGGAUGUUUUCAUUAA